GACGAACGCUGGCGGCGUGCUUAACACAUGCAAGUCGAACGGAAAGGCCCUGCUUUUGUGGGGUGCUCGAGUGGCGAACGGGUGAGUAACACGUGAGUAACCUGCCCUUGACUUUGGGAUAACUUCAGGAAACUGGGGCUAAUACCGGAUAGGAGCUCCUGCUGCAUGGUGGGGGUUGGAAAGUUUCGGCGGUUGGGGAUGGACUCGCGGCUUAUCAGCUUGUUGGUGGGGUAGUGGCUUACCAAGGCUUUGACGGGUAGCCGGCCUGAGAGGGUGACCGGCCAAAUUGGGACUGAGAUACGGCCCAGACUCCUACGGGAGGCAGGAGGGGGGAAUAUUGCACAAUGGGCGGAAGACUGAUGCAGCAACGCCGCGUGCGGGAUGACGGCCUUUGGGUUGUAAACCGCUUUCGCCUGUGACGAAGCGUGAGUGACGGUAAUGGGUAAAGAAGCACCGGCUAACUACGUG
This 468-nucleotide ribosomal RNA is filed under the name uncultured bacterium. RNAcentral's name for it is "partial 16S ribosomal RNA". It matches the Rfam family "Bacterial small subunit ribosomal RNA", at positions 28 to 507 of the family's 1533-position model. The record is from RNAcentral.